AUCAUUCUUAGCUACGGGGAGGGCUAUGAUAGAUGUGCCCAAUGGAAGCGUAGUAUUUCACGCAGCUGAUGCGCAUGAGUCCUCUACCUCUGUUCGUGUUAGGCGGUCUGUCACGCCUGCUGCGUUUGAUGUUCAUUGAGGCUAUGAGGUAUCGUCGAGCUCUAGACGUUAAAUUAAGCACUUGUUGGGAGGUAACCCAACUGUUUUUCUUUGUUUUGUUUUUCUUUCUUUUAGUUGUGUUUUGUUUCUUUUUGUUUCGUUGUUUUGUUUUGGGGUUUUAGUUCAGCGUUGAGCUUGGAAGAUGCGGGUACUCGCGCCUUGUUCAUACCACCACCAUGGAGCAUGUGUUUCUGUGAGUAGUGACACACAUAUCAUCAUCCCUCCAAACUUAUUUUCGAACUUAUGUUCUGUAAUAAGUUUGGGGGAGGGGGGUGAGAGUAGAUAUGUGUAUCACUUUUAUCUUUGUGUUAGCUUUAUUGUUUUAUCCUGCUUGGUUGGUGAUGUGUGUUGUUUUGCUUUUGAGUUGGUUAUUACUCCAUUUAGUUGUUUGGUAAGGUGCCUGUGAAGAUUUCUGCGAAAAAGAAGGUAAUUCUUAAUUUUUCUUGAUAUGGUGACAUGAUUUGAACCGAUGAGUGUGAUUGUUGUGUAGAUUUUGCCUUGACUUUUGACGUUGAACAAGCUAGUGAGGAAUUGAGCCUUAACUGCCCAUAUUUGCAGUUUGUUCUUUGUUUUUGAGUGUUGUCAUGCAUGUAGUGCGCUUCUAGAACUUGCCAUGAGUCUUGAUCGAGGUUGCUCGUUGUGUUUAAGAGUUUGAGAUGAUCUUAGGCCAUCUUUUGUAAGCCACAUUAUAUCCCAAACACUGCCCUUAAAUUUUUAAUCCCUUGUUAACCGUGUUUGAGCCUUUCUAAGCUUUGAUUCAUUAACCGGACGAUAGGGGGUAAUGGAGUUUAUGGGGAUCGUUUGUGGUAUUUGUGAUGGGUGGAUUGAAAAUAAGGGGUGAAAGAAAAAGAUUCUAGUCAUUCUUAUAAGCUCUAGAAAAAAAAAGAAAAAAAAAGAAGAUAAUUUGUGAUGGAAGUUGUUUGAGAAAGUCGAGUGAUAAUUGAAUAAUUCAUGGAAAAUCGACUUUGUUGUUAUAAGAAAAGUGAGAGCAUAAAGGAAUGUCUAGCAUGAUUUGUGAUGACUAUAGCCCUUGAUUUGUGAUGAUUAUGGAGAUGUAGUUAGGUGGAAGAUGGAAUUUAUUCCAUGCUUGAAUGGUGAAGUCAUAAGGUUGGUGUAAUCAAUUUAUUUUGAGUCACUUAGCCAAAUUUCCCUACCUAAACCAAUGUCCCUACAUUAGAACCCAAAUUAAAGACCUAUUUGAUCUUACUCUUGGCACACUUUUAGCGAUGGAGAUUUUGAGACGAGUGGCAAGCAUAUGGUAAGUAAUCUGCAUUGCAUGAGUUUCGAUGAGUGAUACACGUCCUUUAUCCAUCAAUUGAGAGUUGAGUGAAACACUUUUAUCUUGAGAGUCAAUUGUUGGAAUGUCAAGGUUGAAUCUGCCACUGAUUAUGCUUGUUGGUGAUUUUUGUGUUCCUGAUUGAGGAUUUGAGGGAAUUCGAAAAAGUUUUAUUUUUCUGAGGCAUCGAUGAUCCAAUCAUCUUACCCAUUCGUGUUUAUUGUUUUGUUCUUCUC
This 1671-nucleotide long non-coding RNA is filed under the name Salvia miltiorrhiza (redroot sage). RNAcentral describes it as "long non-coding RNA (SMIL_LNC003053)". Lineage: Eukaryota; Viridiplantae; Streptophyta; Magnoliopsida; Lamiales; Lamiaceae. The record is from RNAcentral.